Molecule: transfer RNA, 72 nt
Filed under: Camelus bactrianus (Bactrian camel)
Lineage: Eukaryota; Metazoa; Chordata; Mammalia; Artiodactyla; Camelidae
Also listed under: 2 other names
Rfam family: tRNA
About the family: Transfer RNA (tRNA) molecules are approximately 80 nucleotides in length. Their secondary structure includes four short double-helical elements and three loops (D, anti-codon, and T loops). Further hydrogen bonds mediate the characteristic L-shaped molecular structure. tRNAs have two regions of fundamental functional importance: the anti-codon, which is responsible for specific mRNA codon recognition, and the 3' end, to which the tRNAs corresponding amino acid is attached (by aminoacyl-tRNA synthetases). tRNAs cope with the degeneracy of the genetic code in two manners: having more than one tRNA (with a specific anti-codon) for a particular amino acid; and 'wobble' base-pairing, i.e. permitting non-standard base-pairing at the 3rd anti-codon position.
Source: Rfam by way of RNAcentral
GGGUAUAUAGCUCAGUGGCAGAGUGCUUGCCUAGCAUGCUCAAGGUCCUGGAUUCAAGUCCCAGUAUCUCCA